Molecule: ribosomal RNA, 245 nt
Filed under: uncultured prokaryote
Description: partial 16S ribosomal RNA
Rfam family: Bacterial small subunit ribosomal RNA
Source: RNAcentral
UACGGAGGAUGCAAGCGUUAUCCGGAUCUAUUGGGUUUAAAGGGUGCGCAGGUUGUUUGAUAAGUCAGUGGUGAAAGUCUGUCGCUUAACGGUAGGAUUGCCAUUGAUACUGUUAGACUUGAAUAUGGAUGAGGUAGGCGGAAUGUGUAGUGUAGCAGUGAAAUGCAUAGAUAUUACACAGAACACCGAUUGCGAAGGCAGCUUACUAAUCCAUCAUUGACGCUGAGGCACGAAAGCGUGGGGAU